RNAcentral lists this small RNA (760 nucleotides) under Pan troglodytes (chimpanzee). Its description in RNAcentral is "retained intron". Lineage: Eukaryota; Metazoa; Chordata; Mammalia; Primates; Hominidae. The record is from RNAcentral.
UACUCUCUAUGUACAUUCUUACAAAGCUCCUACUUUCUGUGAUUACUGUGGUGAGAUGCUCUGGGGAUUGGUACGUCAAGGACUGAAAUGUGAAGGCUGUGGAUUAAAUUACCAUAAACGAUGUGCCUUCAAGAUUCCAAAUAACUGUAGUGGAGUAAGAAAGAGACGUCUGUCAAAUGUAUCUUUACCAGGACCCGGCCUCUCAGUUCCAAGACCCCUACAGCCUGAAUAUGUAGCCCUUCCCAGUGAAGAGUCACAUGUCCACCAGGAACCAAGUAAGAGAAUUCCUUCUUGGAGUGGUCGCCCAAUCUGGAUGGAAAAGAUGGUAAUGUGCAGAGUGAAAGUUCCACACACAUUUGCUGUUCACUCUUACACCCGUCCCACGAUAUGUCAGUACUGCAAGCGGUUACUGAAAGGCCUCUUUCGCCAAGGAAUGCAGUGUAAAGAUUGCAAAUUCAACUGCCAUAAACGCUGUGCAUCAAAAGUACCAAGAGACUGCCUUGGAGAGGUUACUUUCAAUGGAGGUAAAAUUAUUUUUCUUAAUUUUUGUGAAAGAUCAGAAAAGGCCAUGAUUCUUUGGUGUAUUAUCUUUGGAUAAGGUUCUGUUUUCCUGAUUUAUUUUGUUUCUUAAAGAUUUUCUUCUGAUUUAAUAAUCAAACAAAAUACACAGACCACUGACAGUAUACAUUUAUUAGUAAUCAUGCCUUCCCGUCUUUCCUCUGGCCACCUGUUACUUUGUAGUCUAAUAUAGCCAGUGGUA